Molecule: ribosomal RNA, 253 nt
Filed under: uncultured bacterium
Lineage: Bacteria
Description: partial 16S ribosomal RNA
Rfam family: Bacterial small subunit ribosomal RNA
Source: RNAcentral
UACGUAGGGCGCAAGCGUUGUCCGGAAUUAUUGGGCGUAAAGAGCUCGUAGGCGGUUUGGCGCGUCUGCUGUGAAAACCUAAGGCUCAACCUUGGGCUUGCAGUGGGUACGGGCAGUCUAGAGUGCGGUAGGGGUGACUGGAAUUCCUGGUGUAGCGGUGAAAUGCGCAGAUAUCAGGAGGAACACCGAUGGCGAAGGCAGGUCACUGGGCCGCAACUGACGCUGAGGAGCGAAAGCAUGGGGAGCGAACAGG